Molecule: ribosomal RNA, 253 nt
Filed under: uncultured bacterium
Lineage: Bacteria
Description: partial 16S ribosomal RNA
Rfam family: Bacterial small subunit ribosomal RNA
Source: RNAcentral
UACGAAGGGGGCUAGCGUUGCUCGGAAUCACUGGGCGUAAAGGGCGCGUAGGCGGCCCUCUAAGUCAGACGUGAAAUCCCACGGCUCAACCGUGGAACUGCGUCUGAUACUGGAGGGCUUGAAUCCGGGAGAGGGAUGUGGAAUUCCAGGUGUAGCGGUGAAAUGCGUAGAUAUCUGGAGGAACACCGGUGGCGAAGGCGACAUCCUGGACCGGUAUUGACGCUGAGGCGCGAAAGCCAGGGGAGCAAACGGG